CCUACGGGAGGCAGCAGUGAGGAAUAUUGGUCAAUGGGCGGAAGCCUGAACCAGCCAAGUCGCGUGAGGGAUUAAGGCCCUACGGGUUGUAAACCUCUUUUGCCGGGGAGCAGAGGUCCGGACGUGUCCGGGCCGGGAGAGUACCCGGAGAAAAAGCAUCGGCUAACUCCGUGCCAGCAGCCGCGGUAAUACGGAGGAUGCGAGCGUUAUCCGGAUUUAUUGGGUUUAAAGGGUGCGUAGGCGGAAUGCCAAGUCAGCGGUAAAAUCGCGGGGCUCAACCUCGCUCCGCCGUUGAAACUGGCGUUCUUGAGUGGGCGAGAAGUAUGCGGAAUGCGUGGUGUAGCGGUGAAAUGCAUAGAUAUCACGCAGAACCCCGAUUGCGAAGGCAGCAUACCGGCGCACAACUGACGCUGAAGCACGAAAGCGUGGGUAUCGAACAGGAUUAGAUACCCCUGUAGUC
RNAcentral lists this ribosomal RNA (460 nucleotides) under uncultured bacterium. Its description in RNAcentral is "partial 16S ribosomal RNA". It matches the Rfam family "Bacterial small subunit ribosomal RNA", at positions 338 to 795 of the family's 1533-position model. The record is from RNAcentral.